GCAUAUCAAUAAGCGGAGGAAAAGAAACCAACAGGGAUUGCCCUAGUAACGGCGAGUGAAGCGGCAACAGCUCAAAUUUGAAAUCUGGCCUCACGGUCCGAGUUGUAAUUUGCAGAGGAUGCUUCUGGCGACGUGCCUUCCGAGUUCCCUGGAACGGGACGCCAUAGAGGGUGAGAGCCCCGUCCGGUCGUGCACCUAGCCUCUGUGAAGCUCCUUCGACGAGUCGAGUAGUUUGGGAAUGCUGCUCUAAAUGGGAGGUAUACGUCUUCUAAAGCUAAAUACCGGCCAGAGACCGAUAGCGCACAAGUAGAGUGAUCGAAAGAUGAAAAGCACUUUGAAAAGAGGGUUAAAUAGUACGUGAAAUUGCUGAAAGGGAAGCGCUUAUGACCAGACUUGGGCUCGGUGAAUCAUCCGGCGUUCUCGCCGGUGCACUUUGCCGUCCCAGGCCAGCAUCAGUUCGCGCCGGGGGAUAAAGGUUUCGGGAAUGUGGCCCCCUAGGGGGUGUUAUAGCCCGUUGCGCAAUACCCUGGCGUGGACUGAGGUCCGCGCUCUGCAAGGAUGCUGGCGUAAUGGUCAUCAGUGACCCGUCUUGAAACACGGACCAAGGAGUCGUCUUCGUAUGCGAGUGUUCGGGUGUCAAACCCCUACGCGUAAUGAAAGUGAACGUAGGAGAGAGCUUCGGCGCAUCUCCGACCGAUCCUGAUGUUCUCGGAUGGAUUUGAGUAAGAGCAUACGGGGCCGGACCCGAAAGAAGGUGAACUAUGCCUGUAUAGGGUGAAGCCAGAGGAAACUCUGGUGGAGGCUCGCAGCGGUUCUGACGUGCAAAUCGAUCGUCAAAUAUGGGCAUGGGGGGCGAAAGACUAAUCGAACCUUCUAGUAGCUGGGUUUCCGCCGAAG
This 897-nucleotide ribosomal RNA is filed under the name Acremonium charticola. RNAcentral's name for it is "LSU rRNA". It matches the Rfam family "Eukaryotic large subunit ribosomal RNA", at positions 38 to 966 of the family's 3401-position model. Lineage: Eukaryota; Fungi; Ascomycota; Sordariomycetes; Hypocreales; Bionectriaceae. RNAcentral also lists the same sequence under 1 other name. The record is from RNAcentral.